This 20750-nucleotide long non-coding RNA is filed under the name Brassica napus (rape). Its description in RNAcentral is "long non-coding RNA (BNAP_LNC014276)". Lineage: Eukaryota; Viridiplantae; Streptophyta; Magnoliopsida; Brassicales; Brassicaceae. The record is from RNAcentral.
UGAAAAUUUUAAUUUUUUUUAUUUUUCAAAAUUUGAAAUCUUAUCCCCAAAACCUCAUUUCUAAACUCUAAACCCUAAACCCUAAACCCUAAACCCUAAACCAUAAACCAUAAACCCUAAACCCUAAACCCUAAACUCUAAACCAUAAACCCUAAACUCAAAACUCUAAUCCAUAAACCCUAAACUCUAAACCCUAAACCCUAAAAUCUAAACCCUAAACCUUAAACCCUAAACCUUAAAUCCUAAACCCCACCCUUUAACUCUAAACCCUAAAUUUGUGACUUUUGAUAAAACAUUAAGUGCUAUUUUUGUGACUUUUGAACUUGAGUACUAGUUUGGGAACAAAAACUUGAUUUAGUGCUAUUUUUGUCUUUUUAUCUAUAAGGAUUAAUGUCAGCUAAUUAAUUAAUUUAUACUAAUAUGUAGAUCUGCAAAACCUACUCAUGUUCAUAGCAUUUCAGUUUCGUAGUAUAUAUAGCUUCAUAGCCUGCAAGAGCCUUUUCAGAAACCCUAAACUAUUAUUGUUUAAUAAAAAAAAGAUACUUCCAAAGAUUAUGAGCUUUGGUCAUAAAUUUUUUUUAGUUGAAGAACAACAAAUAUAUUUUUUUUAGUCGAAGAACCUGACUACCUGAGUAAUGAUAUUUUUUGUUCAAGAAGCUAAAAGCUUGCCCUUAAAAUGGAACAAUCACAGAAGUUAACACAAUCACAGAAGUUAACAAUAUAGAUACAAUAAAUAAAGCAUAGAUUUAAUCCUUAAAAAAAUAAAAGAGAGAAAGGGUUUUGCCUCAAUAAUCACCAACAAGAGAAACUCACUUGGAUUACAGGUGUCAACUGUUCAAGCUCACUGUCUGUCGGACAACAAUGGCUGCGAAGAUGGUAAAAAUGAAAUUUCCUUCGGAUUCUUUUCAUGAGCUUUUUUCUCUCAGUCUUUGGUAUGAUUCUUCUAUAACUCAGAUCUCCUCAUCAUAAGCGUAGUGGUAUAAGAAGAAGAUACACAGAUCUGAAAUAUUUAAAUCAAAAGGGUCAUUUAAUAUAGCAUCAAGUAUUCGUUUUCAGGGGAGUUUGUGGUGAGGGUUUAUAAUAUUUUUCUUCUUUUUCCAGGGAAAAUCAGCCAAGAAAGUGAAAGAAAAAUGGCGAAAAUGGGAAUCGGAGGGAGAUGCUAGAGAGAGAAAGUAUUAUUUACCUGUUUGAGGAAAAUAUCCACAGUAGCCUUCGGACAAGGAAUACAAGUGCACUGUUCGGACCAUUUAGUACUUUCGUUAUGCUGUUUUCUCUCUUUUACCCUUCUUUAAUUUUUGGUUUUACAAAUCUGCCAUUCAUAGUCCACAACUAAUCCAAUUAUGAAGUCUCCGUAGUAUUAAUCCGUCAGCACUGGUGAAUAUAGGGUAUGACCCAGUUACCGGAGACAAGAGGAACCGUUAGAAAAUAAUACAGAUGAAUAAAAUUGUAGUAAUAAAAAUGAAUAGUUAUUUCAUGUCAUAUUUAAUAAUGAAUAAUUUUAUUCUUUAUUUCUCUAAAAAAAAGAAAUGGUAGGGAAUAAGAAAGAAAAAUUAUUCUUUAUGAAUUGUGACUUUUGUUAGGAAUGUUAAUGAAUGCAUUAUUCUUCGUCGUUUAUUGGUCACUAUUCAUACCCAUAGAUUUUUUAAAAAUAAAUUAAAUAUUUUAAAAUAUUGAUUAUUUUCAAAUAUGUGUUAAAAUGUCUCAAACAAAAUAAGAUUAUUUUCUCUCUUUCUUUAUUUCUUUACUUCAUUCCUAUUAUAUAUUCAUGAGAAACCUGUUCAAAUAAUAAAUCAAUGUCCAUGUCCUAAGAAUCUAAGCACAUAGGUACAUAUUCUUUGUUUGUGUAUCUGUAGAUGAAAUACAAAUAAGAUUAAGGCAAGUGCAUAUAAUUUAUUAGGAAAAAUCUUUAAAGGGUAAUUAGUAUUUACACUAUAUUUGCUACAUGUAAUGUUUAAACAAAUGUAUAUCGGUGUUUCAAAAAAAAAUGUAUAUCUACCCACUUAGAUCAGAGAUUGAUAUCUCCAUCACAUGUUUUUGAGUUUAUGUACAAGUCAAAACGAAGAAUGUCCAAACAUUCAAAGUCAAUUCGAAUUACUUAGCGUGGGGAUAAAACAAACAAAAUAGAAAAGCUAUAUAUAAUAAGCAAAUACUAAGUCGCUCAAACUAAUCUGAAGGUGUGGAAAACGCUGACCUAACCAAUAUGUGGGAUUGGCAUUAUCAGCUUCGAACAAUCUAUAUGAAAAGUCACUGACAAAUUCAUGGUGCUCAAAUAUACAGCUGUAACAGUUCAUAUCCGACACUAGCGCUAGCUUCCAGUUUUAAAUGUAAGGGAGAAAGGAACCUUCCUUAAAUUAUGGCUCCAUGAGGUACAUCGAUAUACUUUAAUCAUUGAUGCAAAUAUUUAGUCUAAAUUCGUUAAAGGAUUGUUAUCUAUUCAACAACCAUACUUGCAUCAUGUUUCAUGCUGAUUUAAAAUCAAUAGUGAAAAAGGCCCUGUCGAGGGGUUUAAUUAAGUGGACACAUGAUCUUCAGAUAAGGCAUAACUCUUAUCAUUUUCCUCUUUUCAGAUAAAUUUGAUUCGAUAAAACUAUGUUUUCUCCCUUACGCAUGGAUUCUUUUGAACUGUAGUCGCUAUAUAACCAAUCCAAGUUCAAGUAUGCCGAAUCCACAUUAAACAAUUUGAUGCUCGAACCACUUAAAUAAAAACAAACCAAACCAAUAGUUACAUCUCACACGACAACCCCACUUGGACUAACUAACCAAAUAGAUUCCCUAAAUGGGAAUUGUUACGUUCUCUAUAAUCAGAUGUCUUUAAUGAUAUGAAUAUUCCAGAGUUGCAUUAAUAUUUGUGUGGCUUCAAUUAUAAAAUGGUUUUUAAGAAGACCAAUGCAAAAAGAAGGUGAUAUUUGGGUUUCGGUGGUAACAGUGCUUAACGACGGGCUCGAGACUGUGAGGCACCAGGCACGUGUCGCUGUCUAAAGGCAUUUAUUGAUGCACAUUCAGAAUAUUUUGUUUCACAUCGAAUUUCACCAUUUUGUUGCCAAAAUACAUAGUUACUCCUAGGCCUGGGCAAAAUAACCGGAACCGAAGAAUCGAACCGGAACCAAACCGAAAUACCCGAAACCGAAACCGGACUAAUACCCUCAAAUACCCGAACGGUUUCUAUAUUUUUAUAUCCGAAAUAACCGAACCGAACCGAGAACCGAACGGGUAUCCGAAUAUAUAAAAAUAUUAAUUAUAUAUACAUAUAACAUCACUAAAUAUAUAUUUUUAAUUUAAAAUUCUAUUAAAAGUACCUGAAAAUAAUUGAGGAUAACUAAAUUAUUAUAAAGUAUCCAAACUACCCGAAAGUAUCCAAACUAUCCAGAUAGUUUUAUCCGAAAUAUCCAAAGUAAUCCGAAAUAUCCAAAUUUUUUAUCUAAAUCAUCCUAAUUAUUUGAUAUUUUACUCUAAAUAACCGAUAUUUUAUCCAAAUUAUCCGAACUACCCGAACUAUCCGAACCCGAACCGGAUCCAAAUGAGAACCGAACUUUCUCCGGAUAUUUUCCGGUUCCUACAUUUACUAUCCGAACCGAACCGAACCCGAAACUAUCCGAACCGAACCGAACCGAAAAUAGGUCAAGUACUAAAUGGAUCCUCUAGCCCCUAUCCGAACUACCCAAAACCCGAAAUACCCGAACCGAACCGAACCGAUACCCGAAAUGCCCAGGCCUAGUUACUCCAAUGUAUCUCUUGAAUCUUAAAUGUAUUUUCGAAUGUUUAUUAUAUUAUACAUAAUUGGUUUGUUUUUCCGAGUUAAGAAAUGCACAAUGGACUUACAACCUCAGUAGCAGUUUAGUUGGCCGUAUUUGAAUUGAUUUAAUAUUAGAAAAUUUCUAAUGCAAAAAGAGCAAAAUACCAUUUGGAAUUACCUACCUUUCAACUUUUAAGUAAAUUUUUGUUAUCUGCAUAUAAUCUUGUAGUUGUCAGCUUCAUCCUCAACAGCUCAAAAGACAAGAUUUUAUUUAAAAUUAUUUAUUUUAAGUUAAAUAACCUGGAAUGUACCAAUGACCAUAGGAGUUCUUCACCAUUAAUUGACAAUAGUUAAAAGAGAGGUUGUGUAAUGUAAUUGGUUUUUAUCAAAAUGAUUUUGGUGACACUUCACUGUUAUGGUAAGAGAUAGCUUUUAGGAUCUUCCUCCAAUAGUUUGACUCAUAAAAGUAUUUUUAUGGAUUUUUCAAAAAAAAUAAAAAAAAAAGAAGUAUUUUUAUGGUAGAGAGAGGAUCACGUAUCUGUCACUAUCAAGUUUCAAAUACAAAGUUACAAGUCUAAUGUGAUUUCCUAUUUAUAUUACUAAUGAAAUAUGUAAAGAGUUCUCUUAUGCAGUUUGGUUUCCUUUCUCAACGGGCUGUGAUCUUUUCUUCCAGAACUUGAAAUGAAGAGAUCUUCCCUCAAGCAUCUUCUCAAUCUCCUCCAUUGGCAUUCCUUUUGUCUCCGGAACACACACCACAACAAAGAGAAGAGCAAUGACUGAGAUCACUCCAAACAUGAGAAAAGUCCAAGAAGUCCCAAUAGCUUCAGUCAGGGAAAGAAACGAUUGAGCCACGAUUAAAUUCGAUAUCCAAUUUGCAGUUGCAGCUAUUCCUCCACAGAUUCCUCUGAAUCUCAAUGGAUAAAUCUCUGAGUUAACUAUCCAUGGAACAGUCCCCAUCCCCGGAGAGAAGAAAAUGAUAUAAAGUCCCAAUCCAAGAAGAGCAAACCAACCAAAAUUACUAGGACAUCCUCUUGUGUACCAAAGACGGUUUUCAUUAUGACAUAAGUCCUUAACAGAAUCAUUAGAGACCCAACAAGCCCCAGGAUGUUCCUGCAUUCAUCAUACAAAACAAGACAUGGAACUCAAAUGUUUUCAAAUUUAAAAAAGAAAACAUUUUGUGUGUUUUGAAGUCUUUACCUUUCCACUGGGAGAUGAACAAAACCCACAAGAAGGAGAAGAAGCUUUCAAACAAGUCAUACAAUCCCAAGUUUGUGCUUUCAAAGAUGAGUUGUAAUCCGGACAAGUAACGUUAUUGAACCUUUGUGUCUCGAGGAAGCUAACCGCAGGAGCAUGAGUAGUCACUUCAUAGAAAACACCAGUUAGUAAUCCAAGAGAGACAAUGACUCCUAAAAGACUAAUGAUCAAAAGCUUUUUCCUUCCGGCUCUAUCGAUGAGGUAAAUGCUAAUGAUGGAACCAAAUGCGUUAAGUCCUGCAGUAACUAGAGACAAGAGAAUAGCUGUUCUGUUUGAGGCAAAACCGGCCAGCUGGAAAAUGGUUGGACUAUAAUACAUAACAGUGUUGAUACCAACGAACUGUUGAAACACUUGGAGACCAACACCAGCUAUUAGUCCUCGUCUAACCGUUUUGGUUUUGCAUAGUUUGAUCAUGUUGAUUUUCUCUGAAGAUCCUUCUUCUAGUAUCUCUGAUUCAACUGAAUCUUUUAGUGCUCUAAUCUCGUGUUCUACAUCUUCUGCUGAGUAUAUUCUUCUCAUGAUUGCUUUAGCCUCUUCUUCUCUUCCCUGUUUUAUAUUAGAAUGAAAAAAUAAAAGUUGUUUAUGAGUAUAUUCUUCUCAUAUAAACCGGACCAAACCGAACCAAAAAUGUAAACUAGAAGUAGGCUUAAAAAGAUUAAAAUAUUUUAGAGAAAUGAUACCAAACAAUCCAUAGUAGAUUUGGUUUUAUAUUUUGCCAUAUUAGUAAGUAUUAUAUUGAGCACGUUCAUAUAUACCUUGCGGUAUAACCAGCGAGGCGAUUCAGGGAGUGUAAACAUUAAGAUGAACUGCAAAAGAGCUGGAACUCCCGCGAUUCCAAGCAUCCACCUCCAUGUUCCCUUCACCUAAAACAAUAAGAGAAACAGAACAUUAACACCUUUAGAAUAAUCCAAAAUGUUAAAUUGUUUAAUAUCACUUACAUCGGUGAAGGCUAAGUUAAUGAGGUAAGACACGAAUUGUCCUCCGGUGAUGAGAAACCCAUUGGUACUGACCAAAGCUCCUCUGAUCUUAGCUGGAGAUGCUUCUGAGAUGUAGAGCGGGGCAGUCAUCGAGGCCAUACCGACCCCAAGGCCCACAAAAACACGACCAACGACAAUGAGGGACGGGUUAGGAGCAACAGCCAUAACGAUAGCUCCUAUUAGGAAGAGGAAAUCCGCCAUGAGAAUGGCGCUUCUCCUCCCGAAUUUGUCAUUGGCCCAACCUCCGAUGGCGGCUCCAACGAUGGCUCCAGCAACCGCCAUGCUCACUAUCAUUUCCUGUUUUUCAUAAAAUUGAUUUGGAGCUUAGUGUAUGUCUGUAACGUUUGGGUAGUUAGUUACGUGAUUCUUAACUGUAAAUACAAAAAAACGGCAUGCGCAAAACAGAGUUGAAACUCUUAAUGAUCUGCUUGUAUUUAUGCUUGUCCGAAAUUUCUGAAAACCUUUUCCUAAGCUUUUGUAAAGGACUUCAUAAUGAUUAGACCUAAAGUUAUUAAGGUUUCUUUAAUUUGACACUAUGGUCUCUGUGUUGUUUUGGGAUGACAAAUACAAUUUAAUUACCACAUCAAUCUUGUUGAAAUAGUUCCUAGAAAAUAGUCAUAACUCAACACACUUUUUUUGUAAAUUCUAACUAUAAAACAAACAUAUAAGAACCUGUAACCAAGUUUCUCGGUCAACAGUCUUGAAAUCUUCUUUGAUAUAAAGCAGAGCUCCUGAUAUAACUCCUGCAUGUAUAUAUAAAUCCCAUCAAACUUGAGCCACACGUGUAUAUAGAUGAGUGAAACUGCAGAUAACAGAUUAAGAAACUUGCCGGUAUCGUAGCCAAAGAGAAGACCACCGAUUCCUGCGGAGAAAGCAAGACGAAGAACAUAAGGGUUCUUCCAUGUUAGAGAAAAACAUUCUCUGAAAGCUGAUUUAUCUGCUCCUCCAUGUAUUCCUCCUUCCAUUCUUUUUUAUUUUGUGUGUGUAAGUUUUAGUUUAAAGUGUUAGAUGAAGGAGACUGAACAACAAAUAUAAACUUAUAAAGAGUGUGAGUUUCUCUGCUGUGGUCUGUUUUUUUUUUUUUGUAUUUUUAUUUGUGCUGAUAAAGUGAGAGAAUGAUAAGUGGUUAUUAUUCAAUGGAGAAUUGAUAUGGUACAAGACACUCUUGCUAGAAAAAUCCAGUUGACUUGUCCAAAUUUUCUUCUAUAACUCAUUUGUUUGCUUUUUUUUCUUUCUCAUUUCUAUUCUCAUUUCUAUUGUAUUUACUUAUACUUUGUUGUAUUUAUUUACCUUUUGAAGCAUUUGCAUAUUUUCUUUAAAUAUACAUAAUUAUUAUAACAUUUUUUCCUUCUAACAAAACAUAAAUGAUUGAAUCAAUUAACAAUGGUUGGGUUGCAUGUUUUGAUUAGUUUGUUGUUAGUAACCAACAUUUGGUCAAAGAUCAUUGUCAUCCUGAUUAGACAAAAAUAACACGGAAAAGGAUAUGCUGGACUAUUGAAGAGUGUACAUGAUUAGUCAUUUGUAUAAGUAUAAAUAUUUAAGAACUUUGAAAAUUUAGAUUAUCUAAGCUUAAUCAUGCAUGCUUAUAAUUUUAAAAGUAAGUUAUCAAGAGUAUUUAAAUCAAAUGGGUGAUUUGACGGCCCGAUUUGGAAGACAAACUAUGAUCACAUGCUUGUAUACCAUGAUUUAUUACUAUCUAGUGAAGAUAUGAAAAUUUAUAUCAGAGAGGAAUACGAUGCAAGUCUACACAACAUAGCUGCGUAAUUUGACAACUGACAUCAUAAUAUCAUAUUAUUUCCCGAAUAUUAUAAUGUCACUAAUCAAGACUUUUCUUUGUUUACUUGUGUAUCGGUCAUGUAAUAAUCAUGUUUGAAAAAGGACAUACGAGACCACUAGUCGUCUACACCACGUAAGAAUUUUCUGCAUUGGAAUAUAUUCCCUGAAUGUAGUUUAGUCUAAACUUUCUUUUAUUUAUACCUUUUUAUUGAUAAAGGUUUUUUUCUUUCUAAAGAAUAUGAAUUGUCCUUUGAAAUAAUGGGGAAUUAAUUCGACAAGCAAAAGACAGCCUUUGUAAUUAUUUUUCUUGAUACAAAAGUUGAUACAUUAAUUUCAGUUUAUGAAUAACUAUUGGAGUAUUUUCUUCUUGUUUACUUGGAAGAAUAUAAGCAAGAAGAAAAUAUGUUAUAUGAUUAAAAUAAUAAUAAAAAUAAUAAUUGAUAAUUGAGAGAAAAUAAAAUCAUUAAAUGAAAACUGAGAAAUUUUAUGAUUCUUUUUGAGACACUUGUCAAUCAGACAUUGGUUUAAUUCUUUGAAAAUUUAACAUAUAAAAUUAAUUAUGUUAAAAUACAUUUUUUGUUUGAGAAACUCUUUCUAAUUAUCAUUGAUAGAGAUGCUCUUAGAUCAUAAUUAUCGUUUUAUGGUUUUUUAGGAAACCUUUUUUAAUUUUUUUAAUUUUUUAAUUUUUUUGUCUGGAAAAAAAAUUCAAAUUGAACUAAUCGCGGACCGUCAUGUGUCAGUGGAAUCCGCGAACAGUGCAAGAAACACACCAAAAUCGAUCCUUAUUUCAUUACUUCUAUAACUGAUUCUUACUCUUUUUGUAGGGUCCACGCCAUUAGAAACCCACUAUCCACCCGCGAUAAUGGUGGUGGCCUUAUGUAGUUUAUGUCCAUUAAUUUUCAUCUAAAGAUUUUAUAUCACAGAAGCGACAAAAUACUACCGUGACCAAAACUGGCGACAUGAAAACAAACAUUUAAGAAAAAGUAAACAUAUGAGUAUAUCUAAAAAGGCCUCACAGAGAGGUAUUAAUUGGGCCCAACAUAAGCCCAAUACUAGAAAACCUAGAGGCGUUAUAUACAUUCCAGCAUCCCUCGUCCGCCUCACUCAAUCUUCUUCAAGUCCUCCCUUGCAACUCAGGUAUGCUCCUCUUCUUCGAUUUUCAUCGUUAUAGUUGUUAUUGCGACUACUGUUUGGUUUGUUUGAUCGCAAAGUAUAUAUCUUUCUAUUAGUAUUUGACUGGAAAUUCAAAAUUUACGUAUUUAUUAAACAUAACCUUGUUGAAUCACGAAACCUAGACCAAUGCGCCAUGUCUUGUCUGCUUCCUGUUCUGAGCUAAUGUCUUAAUGAAUCUCCGUUUCGUGUUUUUUUUCCCAACAUUAAGUUUCCUGUUCUGAUCUGUUCGGAUCUGCUUUAUAUUCAGUGAAAAAAGACUCGAGCUUUAGAAAAGCAAUGGCUGCUUUCCCAAACCUUAACUCCGAUUCUGGAUUGAAGAAGCUUGAUGAGCAUCUCCUCACUCGCAGUUACAUCACUGGGUAAGAUUCUGUGAACUCUUCUAACAAGAUUAGAUCCUAAAGUUUCUACCUUUGUUCGAAGCUAUGAGACUAACAGUUUGUGUUUGUGUUACAGGUACCAGGCUUCGAAGGAUGACAUCACUGUCUUUACUGCUCUUGCCAAGCCCCCAUCUUCACAGUAUGUCAACGCUUCUCGUUGGUACAACCACAUCGAUGCCCUCCUGAGGAUCUCGUAAGCUUCGUCAUUGGUUCCCACUUCGUUAUGGUUUGUUGUUGUUUGGAGUCAUCUAAUGUUUGCUUCCGUGUUUUGUAGUGGUGUCACUGCUGAAGGAAGCGGUGUCGUUGUUGAGGGAUCAGCCCCAGUCGCUGAAGAGGCUGUUGCUACUCCACCAGCAGCUGACUCUAAGGUACUUUCAGAUUGUUUUUAUUCUUUAUCUCAUUUUGCCUCUUGUGAUUGUGAAUCAGCGAGCCUCAUGGGAAAAUUUAAUUGUAGGAUGCUGCUGAUGAGGAAGAUGAUGAUGAUGUUGACCUCUUCGGAGAAGAGACCGAAGAGGAGAAGAAAGCUGCUGAAGAGAGAGCUGCUUCCGUGAAGGCUUCUACAAAGAAGAAGGAAUGUAAGUUUGAUGUUUUGUCUUUACAUUUGUUAAUUACAUAUGCUGAUAUGUCUUGUGUUCUAACUGGCUUGUGUUUUUUCUUUAUCAGCUGGAAAGUCAUCAGUUUUGAUUGACAUCAAGCCAUGGGAUGAUGAGACCGACAUGAAGAAGCUUGAGGAAGCUGUGAGAUCCAUCCAGAUGGAAGGAUUAUUCUGGGGAGCGUCAAAGCUUGUCCCAGUCGGUUAUGGUAUCAAGAAGUUGCAGAUUAUGUGCACAAUUGUUGAUGACCUUGUGUCUGUUGACACCAUGAUUGAAGAGCAGCUCACUGUCGAACCCAUCAAUGAGUUCGUCCAGAGCUGUGACAUUGUUGCCUUCAACAAAAUCUGUGAGCGUCAUUAAUUGAUUCUCAACUUUUUUGAUACUAUAUAACUUUUGUAUGUAACUGACUCCUUUUGUUGGGGUCUUUUUUGAAAAUGCAGGAGGAUGGAGUCAAGAGAGCUCGAGGAUGGUCUUUUGUGUGUUUCUCUCUAUUUUGAUUAUUUGAGUUUCCUAUGUUUUUGAUUUGUGAUAUCUGAAUAAUUCUGAUGCUUAUGCCAUACAGUGUUUUCUUUAUAUCUCAAAUAUGAGUUAAAUUUACCAAACGUCUCAUUAAAUUAUCUUUGAGGAGUGGUUUGAACAUAGAAAAGCCUCUAAAGGCUUCCAGAAAAGAAGUACAGAAACAAGCUAAUUCUUAAGGUCUCUGAUGCCUCUGACAUGAAAGGCAUUAGGCUAGAAACGAUCGUCUCCUGUAGAAUUUCUCCCGAGAGUUUGUUCUCAGGCAAGUUAUCUGAUAACUUGGAUAAGGAUUACAUCAACCUGACAACCUUGUUUAUAUAGCCAAGGACUAAAACCUAGAAAGAAGCUUGACCUGUCUCAAGCGCACGUGCGAGAGGACAACCAUGAUCAUCGGGUUGAGAUAUCAGAGCAUGGACCCUGUUUCGAACGGAUAGUACGGACUUUCAAAAUUUAGCAAUGCCUUGUGCCACAAGAAAUUUUUAGUUCAUUGCUUCUGUCGUGAUCCAAACUUAGAAAUAGUAGGUGAGAGCAUACGCUGAUGUUACAUCCUUCAAGAGAAGGUCUUCAUGUUCUUUGGAAAGUCAUCAGUGUCUGGAUUUAGACUCGCUCCUCGUAGGUGUUCAAGUGUUGCUUAAAGUUGAAUAUGUUCAGAGUUGUGACAUUGUUGCCUUCAACAAGAUCUGAGUUUCCCAAAUUUGUGUAUCCGUUAGUUUUGAUUUUUAAGUAAACAACUACAAUCCAGUAUUAGCUUAAAUUUCAACUUUCCACCAAAUCUCAAAUAUAAAUCAAAUUUACUAUACUAGAUAAUAUUGAUUUGUUUUAUGAAAAUAUCAAAAUUGUUAAAACCAUAUAUGUUAACAACAUCAAGAUGAUAAAACUACAACUUCAGAAACAAAAAAGAUACUGUUAAGACAGAUUUGUGAGUUCUUUUUUUGACUUGCAUUAAGAUUCAAUAUCAGAAUCAGAAGAAAGAUAAUCAUCCGCCUUAAGACUUGGAAUAGAAUCAUCAUCAGAUUCACCUAAGGACUCAUGCUUCUUACCAACUGCUGCUUCCUCCAUCAAACUAUCCUGACCCUCUAAACCCUCUCCCUCAUGAGUCUCAAUCACUACUUCUUUGGGAACCAUAUCAUCAUCUCUCUCUGAAACAUGCCCUAGAGAUUCCUUAGUUGAUUCAGGAACCUUUAUAAGCACAUCAGCUUGUUGAACAUUCUCUGAUCCAACCAAAUCGUUCCCAACUUUCAAUCUUUUGGCCUCUGGGAGAGGUAGAGUCGUAUCUAUGCUUCUCUGAAUCUCGCUGUUAGCUGGAACAUCCACGUUUGCCAGCCAUAAGUUGGAUAGAACACUGCUAUCUCCAGCAAUACGGUCCAUCUUAUUCAGACCAAGUGCGUUAUGUUUUUGGCUAGCCAGAGAAUUGCUUCCAGGGAAUUGGCUGCUCAGUGAUGGGAGACCGUCAAGUGGAAGUGCCCUCGGAUGAAUGACAACUUCAAGAGACAUGAGAGCGUGAGCACAGAACUCGGCAACUUUCAUCUCCGCCUGACACUUACCUGUUCGCCGUCCACAGUAUAUGCAUCAGUUUCUUGGCUUUAAAAGCUUAUAGUUUAAUUCAAAGCCAACAGUCUUUAGUUACCUCUUUGGAACAGCUCAAGUCCUUCAGCUAAAAAUGCAGGACGUACUAGUGAUGGAGAAACGAGAGAUGCCAAAAACGCACGGAGUGCUGCAAGCUUAAACUCAACCAGAUCAGUUGAAGACUUAUUGGGUAAAUGAUGGUAGGUUUCAGCAUUGGCCCAUCUCCCUUCACAAGCAUUUGUUACUGUGGUCAUUAGAAGCUUAUCAACACGUUCUCUCCAGCCAUUAGAUCCCAAUGCACCACCCUGAAAGCCAUAAGAAAAGAAGAAUGUUUGAUUCAGGUAACUAACUCAACAAACCACAGAGUCUAACUUCAUACUAAACUAUCAACAGUAAUACGUUAAAAAGAAGCUUACGAUGGUGAGAAGAGUUUCUAGUGCCUCAAGAGCUGCUAUCUUCAACGAGUGAUUGUGAGGGACGCCCACUUCAACAGCAGAGUUCUCUGCCUCGGCUCCGGAAUUAGAUGCAUGCUUCCUUUUUUUACUGCCACCCUUAAGAACAGCAGCAUUUGUAAGCGAUGGGGUUUUGCUAGAUACGGCAUCAAAUCCUUCAAGAUCCACAGAGGCAUUAGAUACAGCUUCAUUUGCCAGUUGCAUUGCCAUUCCUGGUCAGAGAACUAAUGUUAUAGCACAGAAAAGGAUCUUUAUUUUCAUCACCUCAAGCUGAGAAAUGAAAAAUGCAAAACAAAGGGGAAGAUCUUGCGAAAAGUUACCUACACCCAUGGAUUUGAGCAAGGUUUUAGUGAUUGAGUAGAGCUUUAUCCUCAGUUCCGGCAAUGAACAUUUCUUGAAGUAACUACUAACAACUCUCACCACAGAUGCAGCAUAUGGUAAAAGUUGGCUGCAAAAUUGAAUCAACACAAGGAUGUUGUUUAGUACCAUAGAAACGUGUAGUAACAAUCCAUUAUUUGCAAAUAAAAGUCAGCGUAAAACUGCUUUCAACCAAGACAUAAACUACUAAAGGUUUACCUGCGUAUGCACUUAAUAGUAGCGCGCAAGAGUUCAAGAGCCGAAGAAUGCAAAGUAGGAAGCUCUGCACAAACCAAUUCUUGUUGGAUCCCUGUCAUGAAAGGUGACAUGGAUCGUGGUAGAGAGCCGUUCACCGCCAGCACUCGCUCUACUAGGGAUAAUAAUGAGGCAACUGGAACAUUAAGCUGAAAGGUUGAAAGAAAGAAAGAAUAUCAGCAUCUUCCAGGACCAAAUUGCAUUUUUUGGAUAGCACACAUCAAGAGAGAAGUAAGCUCACACUACCUUGGAUUUGUAAGAGCUAGUUAGCAUUGUUGAGCUGCAGAACAUAAGUGCAGAAACUCUGGAAACAAUCAACUGCUCAGAGUUCCACGAUGCAUCAUCCAAAGCCCCAUCUUGACCUCCCAAAGGCAAAGGAGAGUCUUUUCCAGGAGGAGCCAAUCGUUGGAUCGCUUUUUUCCCUACUGUUUCUGUGAUAAAUGCCACAGUGUUCUAUCAGAGAAACUAUAUAGCCAAAGACAAAAAAAAAGGAACAAGGGAAGUAAGAAAAUUACCAUCUUCUAAACCUUGGAAAAAAUUAUUUAAAUGCACGUUUAUAGCUAUCAACAGCUUCUGCAUCAUCAAGGACCAGCUGCCUGCAUCGCCUUUAUUAGCUUUUGGGAGUAAUGCUAGAAAGUGAGCAAAUUUCUGAAAGGUUGAGAUAGAAAAGUGGGCGUCGUUAAUAUAACAAUAUUUACUUUGUUGAUGGAAAUUGUGAAUUAGUGAAUGCAUAAAACGGUGAAUACCUUUAACAUAUUAGAACUGGUUUUCGCAGAAAAUAUUUUGGAGGCAAUAAUGGCUUCAACCUGCAAGGAAUAUCGUUUCAAAUAGACUCUAACAAAACAGCGCUACAAUAACAAAUCACCAGAUAGAAAAGAAAAACAUUUGAGAAGUGAAGAGAGCUGACCUUGUCAUAACUAUUGUGGAAGGCAGCAGGAAACAAGAUAACAAUUGUACUUAGCAGAUGGACAAUGCUUUCCUGCAUACCCAAUAGCAAUAAAAAAAAAACUCAAAUUGAGGAUUCUAGCAAUGACAUGAACAGAACUAAUGUUUGCUAAAAAGAGAAACUUCAAGGCCUUCUCAAAUAUGAAACUUACCCAUAGUGCUUCUGAAGAUUCUUCCUCCAAUAGUUUAAUAAUCGGCAAGACUACUUUCGAAGCGUGUGAAACUGCUUCUUUCUUUGUAUUAGUGAAUCUAGACAGCCUGAUUCCAAUUAAAAAAACAGCUUAGAUUUACAAAAAAAAAACCCAAAGGGUUAACGUAGAGUAGAACACACACACAAGAAAAAAACAAAUAUAAAAAUGGUAUAACAAUCUGAUCUACACAGCAUUUCCAGUGUAAAUGAUGACAAGACAUAAUUCAAUUACAGACCUGGUAAGGAGAUCAGAGACUGAAGUACAUGAAGCCACUAGAACAAUUCUAGAACUUUCUGGAUUCUGCUUUCAAACAAAAUACAAAAAGUCAGAAUAACUGAAUACAAACACUCAAAUCUCACCACAGAGCAAGCCAUAUAGCCAUAUAUACCUUGAUAUGCGAUAGUAAACAGUUGAACCAAACAGAGUAUGAGCUAAAGAAACGAUCAGAGCUGCACUCUCGGCAAGUUACUCCAAUCAAAACGACACCCACCCAGCAUUUAUCUGGCUACAUCAAUAAACCAUACAUUUUAAACACCAAAGUCGACACCUUUCCUCUUUUUUAACUUUUUACUAUUUAAAGACAGAGUCUCUGUCUGUACCAUGUCUGAAGAAACCAGAGCCAACAACCUCUCGACCCAAUCAUCAACGGCUGAUUUGGAAGGCUUGGCUUGAAGCUUCUUCUGGUCAGCUGAAGACGACGGAGACUCGGAUAACAGCUUGUGGGUGGCGAUGGUCGAUACGACCUUGGCGAGUGAUUGAAAGUCGACGAGAGGCUGCUUCUCGUUCGGAACGUACUCGGAGAGAAGGUUUCUGAGAAUCUUGGGCUUCAGUCUCAGGUCGCACAUGUCGUCGAAACGCUCAAAAGACGCCAUUGAAGCAGACAGAAUCCAGAGAGAGAGAGAGAGAGAGAGAGAGAGAGAGAGAGAGAGAGAGAGAGAGAGAGAGAGAGAGAGAGAGAGAGAGAGAGAGAGAGAGAGAGAGAGAGAGAGAGAGAGAGAGAGAGAGAGAGAGAGAGAGAGAGAGAGAGAGAGAGAGAGAGAGAGAGAGAGAGAGAGAGAGAGAGAGAGAGAUUUAGGGUUUUAGAAACGAAGCUUAAAUUUGCAGUUCGGCAACCCAACUCUAAUAAAUUUGCAAAAUAGAACUAAAUAUUAUUAUAACUACAAAACAGCUCCUAAGUAAGGUUAACUAAGCCCAAAAACGUUACAAGUUUAAAACGUUAUGUAAACAGAAACUAAAAGUUUGGUCCUGAUGACAUAUACACAUGAAACCUUGGGGAACCGGUAAGAGAAAAAUGUCAGGGGUUUUGUGGAUUCUGUGAUUUCAGUCAAAAACAUUAUUUUGCCAACAUAAUAGACCUUAUAAAUAGCUUAUGGGCUGCAUGAAAAGGGAUGAAGCCCAAGUUACAAGGGUUUUGUUGUAUAACAUACAUUUUUGGUGGUGGCCGUUUAAAACGUACAUUUGGCCCUCUCUAUACUGACUUGAGACUUUGAGAGGGAUACAGGUCUUACUUAGUACGCAACCAUACAAUCAUGACCAUAUAUAUAUAUAUAUAUAUAUAUAUAUAUAUUAUAGUGUGUGAGUUUGAUUGGUAUCCCACCUGAAUAGUAGAAUUGCCAACUAACAAAGUAAUGAAAUUAAUAGAACUAGGAAUAUCAGAACUAAUAAAAUUUUAAAGGUUCAAAAGCUAUUAUUGUUCAUCCAAGUUUAUAAACUUUUGAUAAGCAAAUUAAUAAAUACAUUUUUUAUUUCAUUAAUAAUCAUACAAAUUAAUAGAAACAAAAACAUAUAUAAGAUUUUCCGCAUUAAUAUGCAAAUAGAACCGUUAACAGUUCAAAGUGGUCCAUUUAUGUAAAUAAACAUAAAAUAAAUAUAAUUAUUUUAAUGUUUUUCGUAAUUUUUAAUAGCGCUAGCUUUAAAAAGGUAAAUUAUCGAUUAUUUUUCCCGAAUAACUUAAGCAUGCAACUAGUAACUUAUAAAUAAAAUUUUGUAAUCAGGAAAAAUGUUAAUGCACCCAAUUUUUUUAAAGUAUUUAGGCUGCAUAUACACACAAAAAAACCAAUAUUAGUUAACUACUCUAACACUAUUUUUGACACUAUUAACAUUUUCAUAAUCCUAUAUUAUCCCUGCCCAAACUAUCACUUUUUUUUUCUUUUGUAUCUCCAUAACUUCUCAUUUCCAAAUGGUUUCUUCUUUCUCUAUUUUUCUCUCCCUUUCAUAUCUCUUUAGAUUCUCUAAUAUAAUUUAUAUUUUUUCACUUGUAUAAUGAAUUCUUCUUGUUUUUUUUCUAUUUUUACAGAUGCAAUUAGUUUUCAGUUAUGUAUAUUUCAUUUUACACAAUGCUUGGAUUUAAUGAGUGUCAAUUCACGUGCUGAUCAAGCACAUAUCUGUAUGGAUGGGCCAUAUAUUCAGAAGAGUGGGGUGUCCUCGACAUCGAUUAAAAAACAUAAAUUUAACAUUUCAGUUGCAAGUAUAUGUAGUUGCUAUUAAAAAACUUAAUUGAUAAAUAUUUGAUUAAAUUCUACAAAUUAAGUAUUGUGGACAGAUAAAUGUUUGCUUAUCUGUUACAAAAAAUGUUGAAGCUUUUUAAAAUGGUUUGUAAGAUGUUAAUAAAUAGCUGAUGUUGGCUGUUACAUAGUUUGUUAGAUGGUACAAAAUUGAUUACCGAUCUAAUGAGUCAUAUAACAUAGUGCUUCAAAUAUUAGCAGUUACAUUUUAUAUAAUUUGGUUACAUUUUAUAUAAUAUGUUGUCAUUAGCCGAUACAUGUUCGAUUAGCUGCUACAAAACAUGCUAUCGUUUUUCAAAUUAGUUUAUAAGAUGUUAAAAAUAACUACCGAUUAACUGAUAUAGAUUUUGUUUGAUGGUACAAAAUAGGUUAUCGGGUUAACUUAAUCAUUAACUAUUCAACUGAUAUCUUCUUAACGGUUAACAAUUAUUGUAUUAUAUUUAAAUGAAAAAUUAUAUUUGACACUAUGGUAUAUACUAUGGUAUAUAAGGUAAAUAAUUUUUUUUUUCAACCCAUAAUUGGGCAUCGUAAAAGUACAUCAACGGCGUUCCGGCGAAACAGAUCCUAGGUUACAAGUGCUUAACUAAGUAUAAGGUAAAUAACAUAUUAGAUUGAUGUCAUUGUUUUUGUUAUUAGAUAAUUAUAUUUUCUCUUAAACAAGUUAUCUACCAGCAAUUCUUAUAAUAUUUUAUGAUGCAUCUUAGCAUCAAACAUCCAUUGUUAACGUACUAAUUAAUAAUUUAAUGUGUUUCUUUUUUUUUCUCGUGUUUUCUCUCCCCUAAAAUAGUUGCAGAUAAAUGUUGAGUUGGUAAAAUCAUGUAACCAAUUGUAAUUUUUGGAAGGUUUGGGUUUCUUUUCGUCUGUAAUUCACAUGUAUAUAUGUAGCAUCCAACAUCAACGUAAUUAGUGUCGGAAACAUAAUGUAUAAUUGGUGCCAGAAACAUAGUGGGCAUUAUAUAAGAAACUUGAUAACACGAUUGACAAUGGAUUUGAGAAGAAGCUUUUUAUUUUAACAAAAAAUAUUAUCAUGAGAGAAUGCAUUGUCAAGAAAAGGAAAACAAAAUAAAUGAAAGAGAUAGAGAAAUUUGGGAAGAAAGAGAGAGGAAAAUCUAGGAAGAAAAAGAAAGAAGAAGAAUGUUUCGGGCAAGGCAGAGGCAAAUACAGAAGCAAGCGUAGGGACAAAACAGUCAGGUUAAGCAUUUUUUGCUACAGCGAUCCAGUUUGUUAGGGUAGUUACUUAAUUUUGGCUAUAUUCAGCAAAUUACCUCUUUUUUUAAUUUGGUUUUAAACUGAAACCAAUAAAUACACUUUUGACAGUAAGAUAUUCUAAAAAAGUAUCUCACAAAUAUAAUAUUAUACAAAUGUUAUGAAUAUCUUAUGCAAAUAUUUUAAAUAAUAUUUUGAAAAUUAUAAAAUAAAAAGAACAAUAUACAAAUUGUAUAGUUGAGAAACUCUAGCAAAAAUAACUCAUGAGAUACUCUAUCAAUCUAUAUAUUUUUAUUUUUAUUUUAUUAGUUUUUGAAAUACUCCUCUACAUACUUUUUUUUUUUGGUAACUCUGGUAUCUGGACAGCCACAUUCCCAACUAUCCCCGUAGGGGGUCCAGCGUCCCAACGGAAGAGAUGUUAAAUCCGUUGUGGCCGAGACUCGAACCCGGAUGGCGGGCAGUACAGUUGUACCUCCUUUACCACCAAGCCACAAACGCUUGGUUCUCCUCCUCUACAUACUUGUGUUACCUGCACUAGAUGUAUUCUUAUAUAAGAAAAUUGAACCAAUCAUGAAUGUAGAAAUUGCAUAAGAGUUUUUGAUGAUUAAAACCCGAAAAUUAAUCGGCUCUCAUUUUCUCUCAUGUGUGAGAUAUCCCGUUGGACAUGUUUGGAAUAAUUUUCAAAUUAAUGGUUGGCAAUUUGGCAUAAUUAUAUUCCAGUGGAAACUGUAAAAGCGGAGAAAGUUGAUUCAACUUCUAUUAAAACAUAGCACCAUGCACUAUCGAACAUCAGACAUCACUAACUUGAUUAUUACAAGAAAAGUAAAAAAAAAACACCAUAAUUGCUUUGUGGUGAAAAAACAUCCAGGGCACUUGCAGCUUCCGUAUAACAGAAAAUAAACUUCUGUAAAAACAAAGCAUCGACCAUAACUGACAUCAGAUAUUACUAACUUGACUAGUACAAGAAAAAAAACACCAUUCUUCAGUCGGUUUGUAGUGAAAAUAAUCAAGGGCACUUGCAGCUUCCGUAUAACAUGAAAGAGACUUGUUUAUUGGCCAUCAAGAAACAGGAGGUCGACGGAAAUACCGGAAGAGUAUCCCUCGCAGCGACAGUGCUAGGAUGAUCUUCUUCCGGUGCGGUAUCUUCUUCAAUAAUCAUUUCGAGGGUUGUGGUAGAGAUGAGGCGGCGUGCUCGUGAGGCCGUAGCACGGUGAGGGGUCACGGCAGAGAAUGGAGUCAGAGGUUUAGGUGCCAGAUUCUGCUGGUCUGGUCGGAAGACGAAAAUGGUAUUUUGGGUAUCAGCCAUUUUUAUCAAUGGGUUUUGUGUUCCUUGUGGAGUUAGGGCUUAGAAGUGGAACUUUUUUGCGUUUGGAUGUUGUAUUGUUGAAUUGGAAGAUGGAUAACUCUAUGUUUAUAUAGGAGUUGCAUGGACCAUAUUAUCCUCAAUUAUUUGUUUCAAAAUGGUAUAUUUGACGGAUGUAUAUUAGAGCGUUAUAGCGGUUAGUAUAAUAAUAAAUUAAUAAUGAAGCAGAGAAAAAACGUUUAUCUAAAUAUUUUUUUGCAUAAUAAUAUAAAACAUUAAACUACUAUUUAAUAGUUAUAUACUAGAUUAAAUUAUGGUUUUUUUUUGAGAAAGGGUUUUCUAGAUCAAAUUAUGUUAAUAUUCUACUUUGUAAAUGUCAUAAAAUAAUUGGAUAAAGAAUAUAUUUGCUUUGAGUAAGAUUGAAUUCAAUCCGAAGGACAAGAAAAAAAGACAGCAGUAACAACUUUAUGAAUUAAAUGCAAGUUUUGGACAGUAACAACUUUAUGAAUUAAAUGCAAGUUUUGGACAUAAUCAAAGAGUUUUCAAAACUCAGCUAGCUUCUUCAUUCUUCUUUCUUCCAAAAUCCAAAACCUAAAUAGCGAUAGUCUAUCAUUUUUAGAUAAGAUGUCAUUCUUGCUGCUCCUACGUACUUGCUGCAACGUGUUUACAUUUAUCGCUUUUAUGUACCCUUUGUGAUUUUUUUUUUUUUAAACACAUAUACCCUUUGUGAUUAAAAAAUAUAUUUCUAAUUCAUUUAAGGGCAAAUCUCCAAAAUAGCAUCUUUCUAAGUUUAUAUCACAAAAAUAGCACUCAAAAACUAAAAUGACCAAAAUAGCACCUUUCUAAGUUUAUCAUUUGAAAAUUUUAAUUUUUUUAUUUUUCAAAAUUUAAAAUCUUAUCCCCAAAACCUCAUUUCUCAACUCUAAACCCUAAACCCUAAACUCUAAACCCUAAACCAUAAACUCUAAACCCUAAACCAUAAACCCUAAACUCUAAACCCUAAACCCUAAACCCUAAAAUCUAAACCCUAAACCCUAAACCCUAAACCCUAAAAUCUAAACCCUAAACCCUAAAAUCUAAACCCUAAACCUUAAACUCUAAACCCUAAACCCUAAACCCUAAAUCCUAAACUCCACCCUUUAACUCUAAACCCUAAGUUUGUGACUUUUGAUAAAACAUUAAGUGCUAUUUUUGUGACUUUUGACCUUGAAUACUAGUUUGGGAACAAAAACUUGAUUUAGUGCUAUUUUUAUCUUUUUCUCUUCAUUUAAAGGCAAAUCUCCAAAAUAACACAUUUCUAAGUUUAUAUCACAAAAAUAGCACUCAAAAACUAAAAUGACCAAAAUAGCACAUUUCUAAGUUUAUCCAUUGAAAAUUUUAAUUUUUUUAUUUUUCAAAAUUUGAAAUCUUAUCCCCAAAACCUCAUUUCUCAACUCUAAACCCUAAACCCUAAACUCUAAACCCUAAACCCUAAACCCUAAACCCUAAAACCUAAACCAUAAACUCUAAACCCUAAACCCUAAACUCUAAACCCUAAACUCUAAACCCUAAACCCUAAACCCUAAAUUCUAA